This 265-nucleotide ribosomal RNA is filed under the name uncultured archaeon. RNAcentral describes it as "partial 16S ribosomal RNA". It matches the Rfam family "Archaeal small subunit ribosomal RNA", at positions 716 to 982 of the family's 1478-position model. The record is from RNAcentral.
AGUCACUGACAUUAGAUACCCGCGUAGUCCAGGGUGUAAACGCUGCGGGCUUGGUGUUGGGGGUCCUUUGAGGGCGCCCAGUGCCGGAGAGAAGUUGUUAAGCCUGCUGCUUGGGGAGUACGUCCGCAAGGAUGAAACUUAAAGGAAUUGGCGGGGGAGCACCGCAACGGGAGGAGCGUGCGGUUCAAUUGGAUUCAACGCCGGACAACUCACCAGGAGCGACGGUUACAUGAAGGCCAGGCUGAUGACCUUGCCUGAUUUUCCG